UUGGAGGGCAAGUCUGGUGCCAGCAGCCGCGGUAAUUCCAGCUCCAAUAGCGUAUAUUAAAGUUGUUGCAGUUAAAAAGCUCGUAGUUGAAUUUCGGGGUUUCACCGUUGGUCAGGCUAUUGUCUGUACUGGCGUGUGGAAUUUCUACCUUCUGGGGAACUAUCAUGUUAUUAAUUUAGCGUGGUAGGAAACCAGGACCUUUACCUUGAAAAAAUUAGAGUGUUCAAAGCAGGCUUAUGUCUGAAUACAUUAGCAUGGAAUAAUAAAAUAGGACGGUGGUCCUGUUUUGUUGGUUUCUGAAUCACCGUAAUGAUUAAUAGGGAUAGUUGGGGGCAUUAGUAUUCAAUUGUCAGAGGUGAAAUUCUUGGAUUUAUUGAAGACUAACUACUGCGAAAGCAUUUGCCAAGGAUGUUUUCAUUAAUCAAGAACGAAAGUUAGGGGAUCGAAGACGAUCAGAUACCGUCGUAGUCUUAACCAUAAACUAUGCCGACUAGGGAUCGGACGAUGUUAACUUUUCUUGACUCGUUCGGCGCCUUACGGGAAACCAAAGUGUUUGGGUUC
RNAcentral lists this ribosomal RNA (561 nucleotides) under uncultured Scutellospora. Its description in RNAcentral is "SSU rRNA". It matches the Rfam family "Eukaryotic small subunit ribosomal RNA", at positions 548 to 1114 of the family's 1831-position model. Lineage: Eukaryota; Fungi; Glomeromycota; Glomeromycetes; Diversisporales; Gigasporaceae. The record is from RNAcentral.